This 546-nucleotide ribosomal RNA is filed under the name uncultured bacterium. RNAcentral's name for it is "bacterial SSU rRNA". It matches the Rfam family "Bacterial small subunit ribosomal RNA", at positions 356 to 896 of the family's 1533-position model. The record is from RNAcentral.
GGGGAAUAUUGCGCAAUGGGGGGAACCCUGACGCAGCCAUGCCGCGUGAAUGAAGGAGGCCUUAGGGUUGUAAAGUUCUUUCGGUAUUGAGGAAGGUUGAUGUGUUAAUAGCACAUCAAAUUGACGUUAAAUACAGAAGAAGCACCGGCUAACUCCGUGCCAGCAGCCGCGGUAAUACGGAGGGUGCGAGCGUUAAUCGGAAUAACUGGGCGUAAAGGGCACGCAGGCGGUUAUUUAAGUGAGGUGUGAAAGCCCUGGGCUUAACCUAGGAAUUGCAUUUCAGACUGGGUAACUAGAGUACUUUAGGGAGGGGUAGAAUUCCACGUGUAGCGGUGAAAUGCGUAGAGAUGUGGAGGAAUACCGAAGGCGAAGGCAGCCCCUUGGGAAUGUACUGACGCUCAUGUGCGAAAGCGUGGGGAGCAAACAGGAUUAGAUACCCUGGUAGUCCGCGCUGUAAACGCUGUCGAUUUGGGGGUUGGGGUUUAACUCUGGCGCCCGUAGCUAACGUGAUAAAUCGACCGCCUGGGGAGUACGGCCGCAAGGUUA